Molecule: non-coding RNA, 75 nt
Organism: Parelaphostrongylus tenuis
Lineage: Eukaryota; Metazoa; Nematoda; Chromadorea; Rhabditida; Metastrongylidae
Source: the annotation of a GenBank genome assembly
GCGUUAGUAGUGUAACGGGUUGAAGCAAGAGCUCUCGGAUAGGCUGAGAUGUGGGUUCGAGUCCCGCCUAAUGCG